UUGGUUAAGUUAUUAAGGGCGCACGGCGAAUGCCUUGGCACUAGGAGCCGAUGAAGGACGGCACUAACACCGAUAUGCUUCGGGGAGCUGUAAGUGAGCUUUGAUCCGGAGAUUUCCGAAUGGGGGAACCCACUACGUUUAAU
RNAcentral lists this ribosomal RNA (143 nucleotides) under Lysinibacillus xylanilyticus. RNAcentral's name for it is "partial 23S ribosomal RNA". It matches the Rfam family "Bacterial large subunit ribosomal RNA", at positions 1 to 141 of the family's 2925-position model. The record is from RNAcentral. Lineage: Bacteria; Bacillati; Bacillota; Bacilli; Caryophanales; Bacillaceae.